Rhagoletis pomonella (apple maggot) is the source of this 101-nucleotide long non-coding RNA. RefSeq lists it as uncharacterized. The transcript has 3 exons. The record is from RefSeq and is a predicted model, not a curated record. NCBI's taxonomy places the organism in Eukaryota, Metazoa, Arthropoda, Insecta, Diptera, Tephritidae.
UGCUUGUCACAGUUAUUGUUGGCAUGCCACAUAACAAAGUUCAAAAGUAUUUAUUUCAUUGUAUAUCAUUCUUGCAAGUAUAUAGCUUUGCGUUGCAAUUU